CCUACGGGAGGCAGCAGUGAGGAAUAUUGGUCAAUGGACGAGAGUCUGAACCAGCCAAGUAGCGUGAAGGAUGACUGCCCUAUGGGUUGUAAACUUCUUUUAUAUGGGAAUAAAAUGUUCCACGUGUGGGUUUUUGUAUGUACCAUAUGAAUAAGGAUCGGCUAACUCCGUGCCAGCAGCCGCGGUAAUACGGAGGAUCCGAGCGUUAUCCGGAUUUAUUGGGUUUAAAGGGAGCGUAGGUGGAUUGUUAAGUCAGUUGUGAAAGUUUGAGGCUCAACCGUAAAAUUGCAGUUGAAACUGGCAGUCUUGAGUACAGGAGAGGUGGGCGGAAUUCGUGGUGUAGCGGUGAAAUGCUUAGAUAUCACGAAGAACGCCGAUUGCGAAGGCAGCUCACUGGACUGCAACUGACACUGAGGCUCGAAAGUGUGGGUAUCAAACAGGAUUAGAUACCCGAGUAGUC
RNAcentral lists this ribosomal RNA (460 nucleotides) under uncultured bacterium. RNAcentral's name for it is "partial 16S ribosomal RNA". It matches the Rfam family "Bacterial small subunit ribosomal RNA", at positions 338 to 795 of the family's 1533-position model. The record is from RNAcentral.